RNAcentral lists this ribosomal RNA (265 nucleotides) under uncultured archaeon. RNAcentral describes it as "partial 16S ribosomal RNA". It matches the Rfam family "Archaeal small subunit ribosomal RNA", at positions 717 to 982 of the family's 1478-position model. The record is from RNAcentral.
ACACGACUACAUUAGAUACCCGGGUAGUCCUAGCCGUAAACGAUACUCGCUAGGUGUCGGCCACGGUGCGACCGUUGUCGGUGCCGUAGGGAAGCCGUGAAGCGAGCCACCUGGGAAGUACGGUCGCAAGGCUGAAACUUAAAGGAAUUGGCGGGGGAGCACCACAACAGGUGGAGCCUGCGGUUUAAUUGGAUUCAACGCCGAAAAACUCACCUGCAGCGACUGUUACAUGAAAGUCAGGUUGAUGACCUUACUAGAUUUUCAG